GCGUUUUUAGUUUAUUUAAAAUGAUAGUUUGUCUCACUUUUGUUGACUUUUAGUCAAAACGCU
RNAcentral lists this transfer RNA (63 nucleotides) under Rhinebothrium sp. 1. Its description in RNAcentral is "tRNA-Asp". Lineage: Eukaryota; Metazoa; Platyhelminthes; Cestoda; Rhinebothriidea; Rhinebothriidae. The record is from RNAcentral.